Molecule: non-coding RNA, 70 nt
Filed under: unclassified sequences
Description: pemK RNA
Rfam family: pemK RNA
Source: RNAcentral
AUAAUGAUACUUCCGUCUCGGUUUACCGGGGCGGCUCGGAGCGAUCCUCGGAGGGGUGAGAGUCCCAUGA